This is a non-coding RNA of Triplophysa rosa, 674 nucleotides long. The record is from the annotation of a RefSeq genome assembly. NCBI's taxonomy places the organism in Eukaryota, Metazoa, Chordata, Actinopteri, Cypriniformes, Nemacheilidae.
CUUCUGCUAGUUAAGGUUUUUUCCACUCAAAUGAUGCUUUGCAUAGACAGCUCAUGCUUCAGUGCUCUGAAAGUGUUUAUAGACCUGUGAACAGUUUUAACACAACACCUGCUCACUAAAACAACCUGAAGCAAAUAUGAUUCUCUUCAUAUGGGCACUUUGCUUCAUCCAAGGUGUUUUGGGACAGGUUGUUGUGAAUCAGCCUGAAGUUAAAUCUGCUCAGCUUGGUCAGAGCGUCUCUAUUGACUGUAAGGUCAACACUGUAGUUUAUAGGAAGCCAGAUGGCAAAGUCUCUAAAGGAGAUUACUACAUCUCCUGGUAUCUUCAGAGAGCAGAGGGUCCCCCUAAACUCCUGAUAUAUUUCACAACAAUGAAGCCCUCAGAUACUCCAUCCAGAAUGAGUGGUGGAGGCAGUUUUCACUCUGGAGGAAACGGUCUUGAUUUCACUCUCACCAUUGAUAAUGUCCAGCUUGAAGAUGCAGGAGUUUAUUACUGUUUAAGUUACCAUGAGAUCAAUAACAAAGCUGUGUUCACACAGUGAAAAAGUGUAAUACAACAACCUCCCUUGUACAGAUUACUGAGAAUCUGAUGAACCGAGAGACCAGGUGCUGGAAGCAGAACAAAAAUAGAGUGAACACAAGUGUGUAUGAGAUAUACAAACAUAAAACACUUAA